CGAGUUACCGCUCCUUAUAACCCUUUGUGAACAUACCCCAAACGUUGCCUCGGCGGGCAGCCGGAGCCCAGCUCCGGCGCCCGGAGCCGCCGUCUCGGUGCGCCCCACCCGCCGGAGGACCACUAAACUCUAUUUAAACGACGUCUCUUCUGAGUGGCACAAGCAAAUAAUCA
RNAcentral lists this unclassified non-coding RNA (173 nucleotides) under Colletotrichum sp. FM-2012-3. RNAcentral describes it as "sequence contains ITS1". RNAcentral also lists the same sequence under 1 other name. The record is from RNAcentral. Lineage: Eukaryota; Fungi; Ascomycota; Sordariomycetes; Glomerellales; Glomerellaceae.